ACAAAAAGAAUAAUUCCAAUUUUUAAAAAGGGCCAAUGGAAAAUUGAUCAAGGAGACACAGGAAUGUGAACAUUAAAUACAAAUAAUAACAUAAUUUCAAAAAUAUUUUUAAGAACUGAAAGGAUUACAGGGAAAAUUUGGAAGAUUCACAAUCACCAUGGGAGGGUCUUUGUAGCACAGUUCUGUCAGGAAAUACAAUCAUAUAUUGCGUAACAAUAGGAAGAGGGAGGGAGAAAUGUGUCAUUAGGUGAUUCUGUCAUUGUUUGCUCAUCGUAGAGUAUACUGACUCAAACCUAGAUGGCAUAGUCUCCUGUAGGCCCAGGCUGUGUGGCAGAUCCUAUUGUUCCUAACCUACACACCUGUACAGCAUGUACAGGUACUAUAAGGGAUACUGUAAGCAACUGUAACACAAUGAUGCCUGCUCCAGCUGCCUCAUCUCCUCUUGUGUUCACAACAGACCUAGAAACCAGUGUCUCCCAGCAUGGUGACUUUCCAGAUGGGGAAACCGAGUCUUGGAGAAGUAUGAUGAACAUUCUAAGCCCUUCAACUGAUCAGACAAGGCCCACCCACAUCACGGUUCAUCCAAGUCUACUGGCUGUAAAUGUGCAUCACGCCUGCAGAUAC
This 624-nucleotide long non-coding RNA is filed under the name Homo sapiens (human). Its description in RNAcentral is "HSALNT0406694". Lineage: Eukaryota; Metazoa; Chordata; Mammalia; Primates; Hominidae. The record is from RNAcentral.